RNAcentral lists this transfer RNA (79 nucleotides) under Sphaerodactylus townsendi. RNAcentral's name for it is "tRNA-Gly". Lineage: Eukaryota; Metazoa; Chordata; Lepidosauria; Squamata; Sphaerodactylidae. The record is from RNAcentral.
UCCCUUGUCACGGCGAGUGGUUAAGGCGUUUGCACUGCCACUCACAUGGCCAGGAGUUCGAGCCCCCUGUGGGUCAGAU